UGAGCAGGUCUCCUGGUGGACUAAUGCCA
This 29-nucleotide non-coding RNA is filed under the name Rattus norvegicus (Norway rat). The record is from RNAcentral. Lineage: Eukaryota; Metazoa; Chordata; Mammalia; Rodentia; Muridae.